Molecule: ribosomal RNA, 496 nt
Filed under: uncultured bacterium
Lineage: Bacteria
Description: partial 16S ribosomal RNA
Rfam family: Bacterial small subunit ribosomal RNA
Source: RNAcentral
AUGAGCGCUGGCGGCGUGCCUAAUACCUGCAAGUCGAGCGAACGGACGAGAAGCUUGCUUCUCUGAUGUUAGCGGCGGACGGGUGAGUAACACGUGGAUAACCUACCUAUAAGACUGGGAUAACUUCGGGAAACCGGAGCUAAUACCGGAUAAUAUUUUGAACCGCAUGGUUCAAAAGUGAAAGACGGUCUUGCUGUCACUUAUAGAUGGAUCCGCGCUGCAUUAGCUAGUUGGUAAGGUAACGGCUUACCAAGGCAACGAUGCAUAGCCGACCUGAGAGGGUGAUCGGCCACACUGGAACUGAGACACGGUCCAGACUCCUACGGGAGGCAGCAGUAGGGAAUCUUCCGCAAUGGGCGAAAGCCUGACGGAGCAACGCCGCGUGAGUGAUGAAGGUCUUCGGAUCGUAAAACUCUGUUAUUAGGGAAGAACAUAUGUGUAAGUAACUGUGCACAUCUUGACGGUACCUAAUCAGAAAGCCACGGCUAACUACGUG